Long non-coding RNA from Rhincodon typus (whale shark), 269 nucleotides. RefSeq lists it as uncharacterized. The transcript is spliced from 3 exons. NCBI's taxonomy places the organism in Eukaryota, Metazoa, Chordata, Chondrichthyes, Orectolobiformes, Rhincodontidae. The record is from RefSeq and is a predicted model, not a curated record.
GGAAAAGGAACAGAAGUCAUAUGGAGCACAAUGCCUAUUGGAAGUCUCUUGAGUUUUGGAAGUUUGGGAAUCUCAUUUACUGAAACUUCCUGAUUAUGUAUCAUCUUCAUUUAUUGAAGCGUCAGACAUUUGAUUUACAUACUUCGGAAUGUGAAAGUAGAUCAGCUACAUGAACCUGCAAUUGGAGCACAAUCAGAAACCAAAGGCUACCGUCAAAUAAAGGAGAAGAGGGAGGUGCGACAGCUACAAUUGAACUUAAUGAACAUAAC